CCUGGACAAUGCCUCUCUAGUCCACCAGAGGGCGCCAUUGCAGAGAGAACGGGUCCCUUUCCAGCAGCAUCUCUGCGCGGAUUUGCAGGGAAGGCCUCCCGCUCCACAGAGCCUAUCUUCUCCAAAAAGAUCUCAAAGAUUGCAGGUUCACCAUUUACAUUUGCCAAAUGUUUGACUCAGGACCAGGCCACCGACGCCUCUCAGCAACUGUUCCUCCAACCUGAGGCCAGCCUGGCUCUUCUGGACGCUUCAUGCUGAAAGCCAAUCCCAGACCUGAUACAGCUAACCUCACAUGCCUUCUAGAAACAGAUGACACCACCUGUCUGAGCUUUCCAGGAAGAUGCAAGGGAUGUGGAGUCCCCAACACCGACUUUCUGAAAGGCUCUGUUGACUCCAUUCUCCCAAAGGUCUACCCUUGAAGGUCUUAGGACUUCCAAGAGCCCGACCUCUGGCCUCUUGCAUGUUCACUCUGAACCCAGCAUUUCCCUAAGUGCUGAGUGAGGGCCUCCUGCCUCAGAUUGGGAUUAGAACUUUCCAGGUAGACUCUAAAGCCCCCCUUUGGGCCAGGGAUCCUCCAAGUGCAGUCCUAGCACUAGGACAACAGCUCUCCUGGGAGCUGGGAAGAAGUGCAGAUUCUCCACUCCUCAGACUCACCGAAUCCAAAACUAUGGGUCAGGGCCCAGGGCUGCACAGGGAGGUUUGAGACCCUGGCCAGCUCCCUCCCUAUUUCCUGGAGCUACAGGAUCCUUUCUGCAGAUAGGGUUGGUACUGAAUCCCCUCCUCCAGUGCUGCAGUGGAUCUAACUCACCAUUCCAUGGGUGCUGUGGUGCACCAUCUGACAUGGCUGUGGUGAGUCUUUUCCCCAUAUGAUUAUGAUCAAAGCUACCAUGACUUUAGUUUUUAAUCUUAAAUGAAAAUUUGUGAUGUUUUUGUUAUAGUCACUGAACAAGUAGAAAGAAGCCUGACUUGUGGCAGCCAAACUCCAUUAACAAGUUCCUUGAUCUAUCUCGUUUCCAACAGCUAUAUUUUCUCCUCUAGAGCAGGAGGAGGUUACACUGAGACCCAGACAGGGAGGAGAGGCAGGCCCUCUUCUGUCUGCCAUGGUGUCCGUGAGAGCCCCUGCCCUAGGGAGGCAUGGAACAGUAUGGCGCAUGGGAGAAUGAGAGGCCCAGACAUGUUCCCUAGGGAGCUCCUAGUCUUAGGUAAGCUUUUGGCACAAAGUAUGGAAAGUUCCUUCUCUGCCCUGCUGGUCACCACCUCCAAGAGAAGAAAUUCAUGGAACCCAGAAUCACCAUCCAUCCAAACCCCACACACAUCUAGUUAGAGAGAGAGAAAAAAAAGACUUAUUUUCUGUGAAAAAUGGAUCCAGGGGCAUUGUUAUGGUUUGGAUGUGAUGUGUCCCCCAAAAGCUCACAUGUGAGACAACACAAGAAGGUUCAGGGAAGAAAUGAUUGGAUUGUGACAGCCUUAAGCCAACCAGUGAAUUAAUCACCUGAUGGGAUUAAUUGAGUGGUAACUGGAGGCAGGUGGGGUAUGGCUGGAGGAGUUGGGUGUUGGGGACGUGGUUAUCUGGUUAUCGGGUGUAUUUUUGUAUCUGGCGAGUGGAGCCUCUCUGUUUCUUGAUCAUCAUGUGAGCUGCUUCCAUCUGCCACACUCUUCUACCAUGAUGUCCUGCAUCACCUGGAGUUCCAAGAAAUGGAACCUGCUGUCUAUGGAUGAAACCAGAAGCCCCUGAAAAAACUGUUUUCUCCUCUACUGUUGUUCUGGUCAGGUCCUUUUAGUCACAGCAGCGAAAAAGCUAAAACAGACAUCAUGGGCUGUGGCUGUGGCUCAGUGGUAGAGCGUUUGCAGAGCAUGUGUGAGACACGGGGUUUGAUCCUCAGCAUCACAUAAAAAUAAAUAAAUAAAUGAAGAUAUUGUGUCCAUCUACAACUAAAAAAUAUUUUAAAAAAUAAAACAAAGCAGGCAUCAUGUAAACAAAGCUCUCUUAAUGACGCUGAAAGCUUCUGGAAAAUAAAUACUUUUAAAAAUGACCAAUGCACUUACAUUUACAACCCCAAUGGGUUGAGUCAUGAUGCUAUAAACAGAAGAUACGCUCAAGUCCUAACCUCCAAUGCACAUGAUGUGAUUUAAUUUCUAAUUAAGGGUCUCAAGGUGGGAAUCAUCCUGGAUUUAGAGCCGGCCUGAAAUCCAAUGACUGGGGUCCUUAUAAGAGGAAGAAGUUGGUGCCUGGACUCCGAGGGCGGAAGGCCCUGUGAAGACAAGCAGAGGUUGUAGUGAUGUUCCGACAAGCCACCAGGACUCAGGGGACUACCAGAGCUAGGAGAGAGGCGGUGGGCCAUUGAUAGAGCCAAUCCUAUCAAUGUCCUGAUCUUGAAUUUCUGGCCUUACCUACUAUGAGCAAAUAAAUGUCUGCUGUUUGAAGCCA
Non-coding RNA from Ictidomys tridecemlineatus (thirteen-lined ground squirrel), 2428 nucleotides. The record is from RefSeq and is a predicted model, not a curated record. NCBI's taxonomy places the organism in Eukaryota, Metazoa, Chordata, Mammalia, Rodentia, Sciuridae.